Molecule: ribosomal RNA, 433 nt
Filed under: uncultured bacterium
Lineage: Bacteria
Description: partial 16S ribosomal RNA
Rfam family: Bacterial small subunit ribosomal RNA
Source: RNAcentral
AACGAACGCUGGCGGCAUGCCUAACACAUGCAAGUCGAACGAGACCUUCGGGUCUAGUGGCGCACGGGUGCGUAACGCGUGGGAAUCUGCCCUUGGGUUCGGAAUAACAGUUGGAAACGACUGCUAAUACCGGAUGAUGACGUAAGUCCAAAGAUUUAUCGCCCAGGGAUGAGCCCGCGUAGGAUUAGCUAGUUGGUGGUGUAAAGGCCUACCAAGGCGACGAUCCUUAGCUGGUCUGAGAGGAUGAUCAGCCACACUGGGACUGAGACACGGCCCAGACUCCUACGGGAGGCAGCAGUGGGGAAUAUUGGACAAUGGGCGAAAGCCUGAUCCAGCAAUGCCGCGUGAGUGAUGAAGGCCUUAGGGUUGUAAAGCUCUUUUACCCGGGAUGAUAAUGACAGUACCGGGAGAAUAAGCCCCGGCUAACUCCGUG